Non-coding RNA from Salvelinus sp. IW2-2015, 622 nucleotides. NCBI's taxonomy places the organism in Eukaryota, Metazoa, Chordata, Actinopteri, Salmoniformes, Salmonidae. The record is from RefSeq and is a predicted model, not a curated record.
AAAUAAGCUUCCGGUUAUACGACGUCAUUAGUGGCUUCCGCUUCCGGUAAGAACAGAACAGUUUAAACGAAGAUUGUAGAGAGAGACCAUGCAUACAUUCGACACAGAUCAUGAUGGGUUUCAGAGCGAUCUCUCCUGUCCCCCUUUAGGGAUCCCUCACAGUGAAGCAUGAGGAUCAGAGUACAGCUGGACUGUGGAAGUCUUUCUCCUACCCAGUCAACAGAGAACACGUUCACACACAUCUAUGGAAAGGUUUUCCCAUACUUCUGUGAUCUGGAUGAAGACACAAACCACCCUCUGAAGCUGCUACCAGACUAUGUCUCUGUAGGGUCUGACAUCUCCAAGCGUCCUGAUGGCAAGGCAGACGAAUGCACAUCUCUUUGAAACCAAAKAAUCUAUUGGAGAAAUAAGUGAUCGACGACUGAAUGUGCUUCAAGCUAAUUUGAAUAAUUUAAUAGACCUCUCCUUGUUGAUUCCCAAAUCUUUUUCCUCAAACAAUCAGUUUCCUAUCAGUCCUUGGCUUGAUGAAAUCUAUCAGAUAUUUUUUUUUAUCGGAUGGUGUUGAAAGAGAAACAAUCGCAUUCAAUAAAGUCAAACUUUCUCAAUUGAGAUUGUAUUUUAA